RNAcentral lists this ribosomal RNA (497 nucleotides) under uncultured bacterium. Its description in RNAcentral is "partial 16S ribosomal RNA". It matches the Rfam family "Bacterial small subunit ribosomal RNA", at positions 28 to 507 of the family's 1533-position model. The record is from RNAcentral.
GAUGAACGCUGGCGGCGUGCCUAAUACAUGCAAGUCGAGCGAACGGACGAGAAGCUUGCUUCUCUGAUGUUAGCGGCGGACGGGUGAGUAACACGUGGAUAACCUACCUAUAAGACUGGGAUAACUUCGGGAAACCGGAGCUAAUACCGGAUAAUAUUUUGAACCGCAUGGUUCAAAAGUGAAAGACGGUCUUGCUGUCACUUAUAGAUGGAUCCGCGCUGCAUUAGCUAGUUGGUAAGGUAACGGCUUACCAAGGCAACGAUGCAUAGCCGACCUGAGAGGGUGAUCGGCCACACUGGAACUGAGACACGGUCCAGACUCCUACGGGAGGCAGCAGUAGGGAAUCUUCCGCAAAGGGCGAAAGCCUGACGGAGCAACGCCGCGUGAGUGAUGAAGGUCUUCGGAUCGUAAAACUCUGUUAUUAGGGAAGAACAUAUGUGUAAGUAACUGUGCACAUCUUGACGGUAUCUAAUCAGAAAGCCACGGCUAACUACGUG